This 316-nucleotide ribosomal RNA is filed under the name uncultured Pseudomonadota bacterium. RNAcentral's name for it is "bacterial SSU rRNA". It matches the Rfam family "Bacterial small subunit ribosomal RNA", at positions 30 to 351 of the family's 1533-position model. The record is from RNAcentral. Lineage: Bacteria; Pseudomonadati; Pseudomonadota.
AUUGAACGCUGGCGGUAUGCUUAACACAUGCAAGUCGAACGAGUAGUUACUUCGGUAACGAGAGUGGCGGACGGGUGAGUAACGCGUAGGAAUCUGCCUGUUAGUGGGGGACAACGUGGGGAAACUCACGCUAAUACCGCAUACGCCCUACGGGGGAAAGGAGGGGAUCUUCGGACCUUUCGCUAACAGAUGAGCCUGCGUAGGAUUAGCUAGUUGGUAGGGUAAAGGCCUACCAAGGCGACGAUCCUUAGCUGGUCUGAGAGGACGAUCAGCCACACUGGGACUGAGACACGGCCCAGACUCCUACGGGAGGCAG